Molecule: long non-coding RNA, 1226 nt
Organism: Cucumis sativus (cucumber)
Lineage: Eukaryota; Viridiplantae; Streptophyta; Magnoliopsida; Cucurbitales; Cucurbitaceae
Exons: 2
Source: RefSeq, a predicted model, not a curated record
CUCUCUCUUCAAUGUCAUUCACCUGAAGAAAAAAAACAGAAUUGCGAACGCAGCCUUCUUCUCCUCUCCUCAUAGAUUACGUAAAGGGAAAAAAAAAAGAAGAAUCCUUCUCUUGCAGUCUCAUAGAUUACGUAAAGAAAAAAGAAGCAUUUCUCCUCCUUCUCAUAGAUUAUGUAAAGGAAAAAGAAAAAAGAAAAAACUCAUUUGCGAUUCUUCUCCUCUCUCAAAAGUUUGUCAACUUUCCGCUUUACUCCGGUGUCGUUCAUCAUCUACUCCGGCGAACAUCUCACGCAUUGUGCAAUUGAAAAGUAUAAGGUGGUUUAAGGAUGUCACAUAUUCCCAUGUUAGUGCGUUACGGUGGUAUGUGGGAUGAGAGGCGAAGAAAAUACGAAGGAGGCAUGUUAAAAGGCAUCGUUGUCAGUAAAGAAAUAACACAUAAAGAUUUACAGGCAGAAUUAUAUGACCUUGCAGAAGUUGACCCUUCAAAGUUCGACGUAAUGAUAAGAUGCAUAUAUGAGAUAAAAGUGGAACACGAAGCUCCUACAUUUGAGUUAAGCAAUGACCGUGAUUUGAAGUUUUAUCUUCUUAGUGAAAAUCCAUUAAAGGUCCCUUUAUACGUCUCAUUUGAGCCUAAAAGUAAUCAAAAGCAAAAAAGUGUUAAGCAAAGAUUACAAUUCAGUAUCUGGCAGCAACCAAGCUCAUAACUUAAACCCUCAUCCUCCAAUUGUAAUGGAUACAUUAAAUGAGAAUGAAGUCCAUGUUCGUGAAGUUGAAGUUGGCUUGUGUGAUAACGUGAUAGGGACCACUUCGGCUAUAUGGGAAUCAUAUGAGUCAUAUGAUUCGAAAGAUGAGACUUUUACAUGGGAGCCAGUAGAGAUGAAUAGUGAAUCAUUUGACAUCCCACAACAUAGAGAUGGUCCUACAAAAGAUUGCAAAGGAAAAUCUAAAGUUCGUUACAGCUCUUCUAGCCAAAAGUUGAAGACAGACAUGAAUGAUUGGUCCGAAGAAAGCUCUACAAGUGAGGAGUUUGAUGUAGGACAAAUAUUUUUUUCCAAAAAAGAUUUGUCAAUGAGAUUAAGUGUCUUGGCAAUGAAAAAAAAUUUUCAGUUUGUAGUAAAAAAGUCUACAAAAGAGGUUCUCUUUGUUAGAUGCAUUGACAACAAGUGUGGUUGGAGACUGCGAGCGAUGAGAUUGAAGGAUUCAAAUAUAUUUAAGAUUAAAAAGUA